This 31-nucleotide non-coding RNA is filed under the name Homo sapiens (human). Lineage: Eukaryota; Metazoa; Chordata; Mammalia; Primates; Hominidae. The record is from RNAcentral.
UACUAUCAACUGCCCCAGAGGAUGACUCAGU